CUUGUACUCCCUCCGUCCGGAAAUACUUGUCAUUGAAAUGGAUGUAUCUAGAUGUAUUUUAGUUUGAGACACAUCCAUUUUGAUGACAAGUAAUUCUGGACGGAGGGUGUACUUG
Molecule: non-coding RNA, 115 nt
Organism: Triticum aestivum (bread wheat)
Lineage: Eukaryota; Viridiplantae; Streptophyta; Magnoliopsida; Poales; Poaceae
Source: Rfam